This 1164-nucleotide long non-coding RNA is filed under the name Piliocolobus tephrosceles (Ugandan red Colobus). Its description in RNAcentral is "lncRNA (ENSPTEG00000014418.1)". Lineage: Eukaryota; Metazoa; Chordata; Mammalia; Primates; Cercopithecidae. The record is from RNAcentral.
AUGACUUAUGGAAAAAUAAUACUAGUGUUGUAUUUUUUAAUUCAACUAUAUUCAUGUUAUGAAAUUACUGAAAGCCCAAGUGAAGUACCAUCUAUAGAUAUGACCGAUUUUAAUAAAAUAUUAAUAAACAAUCAAGGUUUUACUAUUUUAAUGUUAUAUGCGCAUUGGUGUAGUUUAUCUCUACUAUUAUUAAAAAAUUUAAAAAACAUAUCUAGCCUUUUAACUUAUGAUGGUAGUGGUAUUGCAAAUAUAGUAAAAAUGAAUGUUUUGUCUAACCGUGGUGUCAUAGAAAAAUUAAAUAUAUAUAGUUAUCCUGCUUUAUUUAUGAUUAAAAAAAAUAUAAUAUAUAGAUAUAAUGGGUUCAACAAAAUGAUGGAUAUAUUAUUAUGGGUAUAUAAGCACCUAGACACGAGUGUAUUUGAAAUAAAUAAUAAAACAAAAUUAACUACAUUUUUACAACUUGAAGAAUAUAAUAAUGCUAUUUUAUUUUUUAUAAGUAAAAAGGGACCGAAUGAUAAAUUAUUUAAACAGUUAGUAGAAAUAAGUAUAUCAACACAACUCGCUUUUUUUUUAUAUAUAACACAAAAAGAUAUAAUUGAUUUUUUUGAAAAUGAUAUAUUAUCACAUCAAUAUAAAUUUAAUUUAGAAGAGGUAAAUGAUAAAGAUAUAUAUGGUAUAUUAUUUAAAAAAGAUGAUUUUGAUAGCUAUUUUUUUUUAAUAGAAAAAGAAUUAGAAUAUAUAUACGACAUGAAUGUUUCAAAAGAGCUCAAAUUUUUUGACUUAAGUAAUUGGAUUCAAAAAAAAAUUAAACCACUUGUUAUCAAAUUUUCAGAAUACUAUUUUCCAGUGCUAUUUUCAAACGAGACGAUCACACUAUUUAUAUUAUAUAAUAAUAUAAAUCAGUUGAAUAAAACAGCUAUUAUAAAAUCUGCUAUGAAACAUAAGCAUAUAAAUUUCGCUGUAUCAGGUGCUAAAGAAACUUUUGAAAAAAGAUUGUUAUCUGAGUUACUUAUAGAAAAUUUUGAUAAACCAAUAAUGAGAAUUACUGAGUUUAAAACUAAUGUAAACAUUCCUUAUAAAUAUAAGCCACUGGAUGAUAACAUAGAGAUAAAUGAAAAUGUUAGUAAUUUUUUUUUUUUUUUUUUUUUUUUACCUAAUGGUUGA